Molecule: long non-coding RNA, 1014 nt
Organism: Ailuropoda melanoleuca (giant panda)
Lineage: Eukaryota; Metazoa; Chordata; Mammalia; Carnivora; Ursidae
Exons: 3
Source: RefSeq, a predicted model, not a curated record
UGUAUAGCCCAUGCUCUCCUUGCUUGCCCUCCUCCCUGCAACAAAAAGAGAAGGCAAAUGUCACUGCAGGGCUCACUAUCUCUAGGCUUCUCGGCCGCCCGAACUUAUGGGGAAAGAGGUGUAGAAAUCCUGAGAACAAGGGAUCACGUAGGGCGUCGCUGAACCGGUAUUCCCAAGAGAGCUGCCAAGAACCGUAGAGCCCCUGCCACUCCUACGCCUCCCUAGAGCCCCGGGGAGCCGAAGCCACACACCCGGGCCGGAGGGCGCGCGGCGGAGCCAGGGCCACGUUUCUCGGCGCUAGCUAGCGUGGUUAGCGCUUCCCGGCCGCAAGCUCCCUCGGAAACUGCGCACGUGUGGGUAGCCGUGGCCACCCUGCACAGACCGGAGGACGCCUCUCGCCGCGGCUCGGAUACUGGGCGCGCCAGCGGGAGCCGCGAAGAGCUGGAACCCCAGAGCCCUCGGAUCGCGUGGGCAGACGUGGGAAAGAGGAGAAAUCAGAAAGCAGGGGAAUGACCUGUCUACGGAAGUCUCUGUGAAAGCAUGGCAUCUACACAUCUAAAUGGUCAUGUUCUGGAGCUUAAGACUUGGCACUUCUGAGAUACCAGACACCUUAUCCAGAGAAGCCUUCUGGUCAGGAGAGCUGGGCCUUGAGAUAUGAAAGGGUGGGGAGACCCUGAAGAUGCUGCACCCACUCUCCCCUCGCCCUGGUCCCCAGGUUCAGGUCGCAGCAACCCAGGCGCCUCUCAGGGAUUUGCGAAACACUGACGUGAGCAUUGUCGAUCUAGGCUUCAAGGCCAAGGGCACCAAGUCCCCAUUCUUGGUAGCUGCCAAUAGUAGCUCCCAAGGAUAUAAUAUCCUAAUGGAUGAGAAGCCUUCUGAACUUUGCAAUGGUGAUAUUGGUGGAGAGAAGUCACCCUCUGGAUGAAUAAGGGGACACUUGGCAAAUGUGAACAGGCCCAUAAUUUUCAGAGACAUCAGACUUUUAAAAUAUCAUUAAAUAAAUGUUGAACUGGA